GUUGUGGGUGAGUGAGUGAUCCUGUACUGUCGAGAAAAGCUUCGUGAGCGAGGUGGUGUGUCCGCCCGUACCCUAAACCGACACUGGUGGAUAGGUAGAGUAUACUGAGGCGUUCGAGUGAAUCGUAGUGAAGGAACUCGGCAAAAUGCCCCCGUAACUUUGGGAUAAGGGGGACCUGAGCUGUCGUGCACUUGUGCGGUGUUGUGGCGGUGAGGGGCGCAGAGACCAGGGGGAAACGACUGUUUAUCAAAAACACAGG
This 259-nucleotide ribosomal RNA is filed under the name Strombidinopsis acuminata. Its description in RNAcentral is "partial Bacterial large subunit ribosomal RNA". It matches the Rfam family "Bacterial large subunit ribosomal RNA", at positions 1579 to 1819 of the family's 2925-position model. Lineage: Eukaryota; Ciliophora; Spirotrichea; Choreotrichida; Strombidinopsidae. The record is from RNAcentral.